UACAGAGGUGGCGAGCGUUAUUCGGAAUUAUUGGGCGUAAAGGGCGCGUAGGCGGCUUGACAAGUCCCGGGUGAAAUCCCUCGGCUCAACCGAGGAACUGCCUUGGAAACUGUCUGGCUUGAGGCCGGGAGAGGGUAGUGGAAUUCCCAGUGUAGCGGUGAAAUGCGUAGAUAUCGUAAGGAAGACCAGUGGCGAAGGCGGGUCUCUGGACAGUUCCUGACGCUGAGGCACGAAGGUCAGGGGAGCAAACGGG
This 253-nucleotide ribosomal RNA is filed under the name uncultured prokaryote. RNAcentral describes it as "partial 16S ribosomal RNA". It matches the Rfam family "Bacterial small subunit ribosomal RNA", at positions 524 to 776 of the family's 1533-position model. The record is from RNAcentral.